CUUGGUCAUUUAGAGGAAGUAAAAGUCGUAACAAGGUUUCCGUAGGUGAACCUGCGGAAGGAUCAUUAUUGAUUUCAAAACUGGGAUGUGCUGGUCUCCUUUCAAAGGGGGACAAUUAGUGCACUCUCAACCUUGAUAAUCCACCCUGUGCACAUUCUGUAGAUGAGGGGAUUAACUUCAAUCACCUUGUCUACAUUUUUUAACACACUCAAUAUAUUAAUGGAUGGUAGUUUGAAAUAUUAAUACAACUUUCAACAAUGGAUCUCUUGGUUCUCGCAUCGAUGAAGAACGCAGCGAAUUGCGAUAUGUAAUGUGAAUUGCAGAAUUCAGUGAAUCAUCGAAUCUUUGAACGCAUAUUGCACCCUCAGGUCUUUUCCAGAGGGUAUGCCUGUUUGAGUGUCAUUAACAACAUCAAUGUAGAACAUUUUGUUAUGCUCUACACUUGGAAAUUGAAGGUUUUGCUGGCCAGUCAUGGUCAGCUCCUUUUAAAUUCAUUAGCGGGACUUUUGAAGACUUGGCUUCAGUUUGAUAAUAAUGUCUAUGCUGUCGCUAAGGAACGUUUAUGUCUGGCUUAUAAUCGUCCUUUUGGACUGUCUCUUAAGGAGGCAUAACCCACUUUGACUUUUGACCUCAAAUCAGGUAGGACUACCCGCUGAACUUAAGCAUAUCAAUAAGCGGAGGAAAAGAAACUAACCAGGAUUCCCUUAGUAACUGCGAGUGAAGAGGGAAAAGCUCAAAUUUAAAAUCUGGCGGUCAGUUUGGCCGUCCGAGUUGUAAAUUAGAGAAGCGUUUAUCCGCGCUGGACCGUGCAAAAGUCUCUUGGAAAGGAGCAUCAUAGAGGGUGACAAUCCCGUCUUUGGCACGGACUCCCAGGGCAUUUGUGAUGCGCUCUCAAAGAGUCGAGUUGUUUGGGAAUGCAGCUCUAAAUGGGUGGUAAACUCCAUCUAAAGCUAAAUAUUGGCGAGAGACCGAUAGCGCACAAGUACCGUGAGGGAAAGAUGAAAAGGACUUUGAAAAGAGAGCUAAACAGUACNUGAAAGUGUUGAAAGGGAAACGCUUGAAGU
Molecule: ribosomal RNA, 1064 nt
Filed under: uncultured Basidiomycota
Lineage: Eukaryota; Fungi; Basidiomycota
Description: eukaryotic LSU rRNA
Rfam family: Eukaryotic large subunit ribosomal RNA (bases 626-1064)
Source: RNAcentral